AUGCAAAUGUGGAAACGAUUAGAACAUGUACUCAAUCCUUGUUCUCCUCCAAUAUGGAUUAAAUUCACAAUGUGCAACCACACCCUUAAAGACUGUGUACUUCACCCUUACAUUUGGGGAAAAUGGCAGGUUUCAAGAACUGAGGCAGUGCUCAGCUACAGCUUAAGCAGAGAUUGCAGACCUUUUCGGCAUGUAGGCAUUUUGGGAUUCCUGAGGAUGUCCUGUUGGAGUUGCUGUCCCUUANCACUUCUUUGCUCCAAACAGUGGAUGGGACAUGUGGCACCCAGAAGCUUUGCAGAAAAAGAGGACAAGUUGAUUUCCCGGCAAAAAUUAAAUUGCAAGGAGGACUGUCAUCGCAAUUGCUGUGUGCAAAAAAUGAAAAGUAUUCCUCUGUACAUGUGUCUCAGAUGUGCUCCCAUGCACGAUCUUUNAAAUUAAAGGUUUGGUUUGACAGUCACAACAUUGGCAUCUGAUCAGGGAUGGGGGAAAAAUCAGGCCAGUUGUGAUACAAUGUUUGUUUAUUGAAUCCAAAGGAGCAAAAGAAACGAUUUAUUUGCGGUCACAAACCAGCAGUGAGAACUUAGACACAAACAGCAAGAACGGGCUUAGACUCAUAGUAGAUUAAUGGAGGGAGAGGGAUUCCAUGCAAUUGGAGGAUCCAGGACUUCUGAGAGCCAAUCNGAGGAGAGAAUUGGAAUGUUCUGUUGCAGCUGGGGCGUGGUUAAGGCAUCCUCCCUCCAUAUUAAUUUCUCCUCUUGAUUCACAGAUCAAAUCUANCUCUCACUAACUAAAUGAAAUUGCCCAUAUCAGCUAGGGGCUCCUACAACCCAACCAUUCCCGUUUCCUAGCCGAAUAAAGAAGGUUUAUUUAUUUAAAAGGGUCCA
This 884-nucleotide long non-coding RNA is filed under the name Salvator merianae (Argentine black and white tegu). Its description in RNAcentral is "lncRNA (ENSSMRG00000010015.1)". The record is from RNAcentral. Lineage: Eukaryota; Metazoa; Chordata; Lepidosauria; Squamata; Teiidae.